GCUGAAAAGAAGAAAGAAGAAUCACAUGUUCAACCUUUUCCAAAAACAAAUAAUGUUGAUGCAAACCAUGUGAUUUCAUCUAAAGGGGAAGAUCAAAAGAUCACUACUAUGAAUUCCUCUACGGGUGAAAAGGAAAGGAUUUCGAUUGAAAAGAGGAAUGGCGAUCCAAAUAUAAAAAAUCAGCUAAGAAUUGAAAAUGAAAAUGAAAGUCAUCCAAUCUAUUCUGAAGGGCAAAGCCAAAAGACCCAUUCUCUUCAAUCUCCUGUGCGUAAAAGUAAAAGGAUCUUGACUAAAAAGAAGAAUGGAUAUUCAAACAUUCCAACUUUACCACAAACAGAGAAUGAAGAAGAAAGCUUUGAAAUUUUGUCCGAAACAGAAAACCUAAAAAUCCUUUCUUCAAUACCAACUAUGGAAAAAA
This is a long non-coding RNA of Vicia villosa (hairy vetch), 418 nucleotides long. RefSeq lists it as uncharacterized. The record is from RefSeq and is a predicted model, not a curated record. The transcript is spliced from 3 exons. NCBI's taxonomy places the organism in Eukaryota, Viridiplantae, Streptophyta, Magnoliopsida, Fabales, Fabaceae.